GGAGAGGUCGCCUAGUGGACUAUGGCGCCGCACUGGAAAUGCGGUUCGGGGCAACCCGUCGCGGGUUCGAAUCCCGCCCUCUCCGCCA
This 88-nucleotide transfer RNA is filed under the name Chloroflexota bacterium. RNAcentral describes it as "tRNA-Ser". It matches the Rfam family "tRNA". Rfam says of the family: Transfer RNA (tRNA) molecules are approximately 80 nucleotides in length. Their secondary structure includes four short double-helical elements and three loops (D, anti-codon, and T loops). Further hydrogen bonds mediate the characteristic L-shaped molecular structure. tRNAs have two regions of fundamental functional importance: the anti-codon, which is responsible for specific mRNA codon recognition, and the 3' end, to which the tRNAs corresponding amino acid is attached (by aminoacyl-tRNA synthetases). tRNAs cope with the degeneracy of the genetic code in two manners: having more than one tRNA (with a specific anti-codon) for a particular amino acid; and 'wobble' base-pairing, i.e. permitting non-standard base-pairing at the 3rd anti-codon position. Lineage: Bacteria; Bacillati; Chloroflexota. The record is from RNAcentral. RNAcentral also lists the same sequence under 11 other names.